This is a long non-coding RNA of Malaclemys terrapin pileata, 4532 nucleotides long. RefSeq lists it as uncharacterized. The record is from RefSeq and is a predicted model, not a curated record. NCBI's taxonomy places the organism in Eukaryota, Metazoa, Chordata, Testudines, Emydidae. The transcript is spliced from 2 exons.
CACAAGUUAGCGAGCUGAGGGGGCGGUGGGGGGGUCACUCGAGGAGGCGUGUAGUGGGGGAGUGAAAAAAGGGGUGAAUGGAGAAGUGGAGGGGAGAGGACGGGGAGGAAAGCGCAGGAGCGGGUUAAAUGCAGGAGGGGGGGAAAUCACAGCUAAAAAAAAGGGGGGCGAUGUGGCUGAUUUGGGGGCGAGUCUGCAGCCUGGAGGAAUGGGGGACACAGUGUCUGGCUGUGGGAUCCUAGGGCUGCCCCCCUCUUAGCAAAGCCCAGCUGGAAACGGCAUGGUCCCGGGUGCUGCAAAAAGCUUCUCCUGCUUCCUUCCUUGUUCAGUCUCUCUUGCUCUUUUCCCUUCCCUCCUUCCAGCCACCGCGUCUUCCCUCAAGUGCUCGGGAGUUCCUUCGUUUCUGUCUGUCCUUUUGUCUUUCCUCGUCUCCUUUUGGAUUUUUAAAGGUUGCCCGGGAGAGGUAAAGCCGCUGCUGAUUUCAGCUUCCUGGGUUGCUGCUAUUUGCAGGAGAAGCAGCGGCGAGAAGAGGAGGGACUCUCUGGCUACGGCGAUCGUUAUGCUGAUGAGAGUCAGCAGCACGUGGUGUCUCAACCCAGUCCUCAUACUUCUGCAGCCUUCAAAAUAAAUAAAGCAAUGUGCAUCCCCCACAGAAGAAGGAGCUUGCUUUCAGGCGAUCUCCCCCACCCGGGGACAGGACUAGAGGGAAUGACAGGACUGUCUCCGAUCUGUACUUCUCUCCGGGUUUUUCCAUUAACACAUUUUUUUUGUUUGUUUUGAAAAAAGCCUGGACUAUCUGGUUUGCCAACUAAUAAUACUUAAUAAUUUGGUGCCAAAGGGUUUUUUUUUUUUUUGAUUGCUAAGACCCUGUCAGUCUAAAGCCUAAAACAUUUCCUUGAAUAAAUGAAAGCUAGAAAACCCGCCCUUCAGACUAUUAAGGUAAAGAGAGUCUGGUUUGUUUUCGCCCUUAAAAAAAAAAAAAGGCAGAUCUUAUUAAAAACAAUUUACAUACCCAAUAGUAAAAAAGUGUCAACGCCUCCCAGAGCAGAUAACAACCUAUCAAAACUCUCCCUCGAACUUACUUCGAGGUGCCACUUCCACCUUCUUGUACAAAGUAAGCGCUGGGGGGGGGGGGUAGCUGCGCGAAGUGCCGGUGUGGUUUAGGGUGAUGGGAGGGGGGCUCCGCUAAUGGUGCCUUUAUGCAGCUUUUUCGCACACAAUUCUGGGAGCAUUUUCAGCACCAUAAAACAAGUCUUUGGCCUUCCCCCGACGCUUCCCCCCUUCCCCACGAAAAAACCUGCGUGUACCCAGGUAAAUGAUCCGAAAGCACACGUCUCAGGGACCCAGACCACAACACUCUCCUCUCUGCGCUCUAUUCCAGCUGUAGGUUCUGCUGCCGGCUUGUUUUCACAAUAGGGUCUGUGUCAACUUUCGAAACCAACCCGCAGUGCUACACAUAGCGCAUACAUAAAAUGAUCCUCUCUGACGAUUAACACAGGAUUGAGUUAUUCCCCACUACAACCACCGUCGCCUGUUAUCUGACAAACAUUAAAAAGGAAGGUGAAACUUCCGGAGCUUUGGUCUUUAUUUAUUUACUUACUUGCAAUUAAAAUGUUCAAAAGGAUCUUUUUUUCGGUCACAUGGGAGAGCUCUCGCUCUGUAUACCGCUAAAUGUGGUUGGCAACUCUGUGCUCUUGUCUGCAAUAGCACACGUCCUUGAAGGAAGUGCAGCGGAUGACAUGUAUUUGUUUAUUAUUUUCAUUCUACCUCUUUUUUCCAGGGUUAAUAUGUUUGAUAGUAACCCCUGGUCACCUGGGACGAUCUUAGUUUUUUUUCUCUGUAUACUUGUCAAAUAGGGAGUGGUGGUGAUGGGGAGUUUACUAUUCCUACGUGGACAUAUAAGUAUGAUGAAUAAGUGCUCCCAGACUUACCAACAAAACGGGCAAGAUCCUGUCCAAAAGGAGAAGUGUGCACAGUGCCCCGAAAUGGGGAAUUUAACACAAUCUGCAAGGAGCUGAGUAAUUUACAGGUUUUCAGAGCUCAAAUAGAGUUGCAGUACAGUAAAAUAUUUUAAAAUAGUUAUUUUUGGUACUAUGUUUAUUAUUGUGCUUUUUAACACCUUCCCUUUAGAUGGGGGAUAACAUUUUCCAUUAGGUAGAGGGUACAGGUGUUGGGUAGAAAAGAAAAAGUUAACAGGAACCGUAUGUUUCCAAGUACAGAAUUAAUUUGACAGUAGUUAUUUCAGUGUUUUUUUAAAAUAAGAAGAUACAUUUCCUCUUUUAAUUAGUCACAUCAGAAUUUUUGCAGUUGCCUCCCUCCAUACUAAAAUUUAAAAAGUUAGUUAGGAUAAAUCAAAAGAAGUUAUAGGAAGUACCCAGUGUAAGGUCACUUAAAAUAGUCUAUAGUUAUUUAUAAUUUUUCCACUGACCACCCUAACAAAGUUUCAGGUACCUGGCACAGCUGAUUUUUAGUCUCCUUGCAAAAAUGUCUUUUUGCUUAACUUUUACACAUUUAACUGGAACUUGCUAAAGCCUGGAACAGAUCACAACUCAGAGCACUAGAAUUUUAUUGAAAUUGUUAUGGACACCUUAAUAAAACUACCCAUAAUGUUUAUGGACCAGCAUAAAGGCUGUCUGGGAUUCUUUUUAUAUGUCCUUUAUGCUAUGUUCUGAAUUAUAUGAAACUUUGGCUUGGAUUUGGCUGAAAGACACUUGGGCAGUGGUUCUCAAACUUUUGUACUGGUGACCCCUUUCACACAGCAAGUCUCUGAGUGCAACCCUCCCCCUUAGAAAUUAAAAACACAUUUUUUAAUAUUUAACUCUAUUAUAAAUGCUGGACGUGAAACAGGGCUUGGGGGUAGAGGCUGACAGCUCGCAACCCCCCAUGUAAUAACCUCAUGACCCCCUGAGGAGUCACGACACCCAGUUUGAGAACCCUUGCACUUGGGGCAACCCUACCCUCCAGCUUUCUUCCGCUUUCACUUCAGAAGGGCUCAUAAUUUUAGCAUAGGUUGAAAAGUGGAUCACAUUUUAAGAGGUUAGAGAGCCAUAGGAGUUUAGAGAAAAAAUGGUUUUUUAAAAGAUUAUGUAUUAAAAAAAACCCCAGACCCACUUUAUAAAAUAAGAUUUUAAUGAGUGCAUCUGUGAUUCCUGCAAAAGCAACUUUGAUGGUCUUUUAGCUUUUUUACUUUUAACAGUGUUACAAAUACAGCUGUACUAUAUGGAAGCAUUUUGCUAGAAAAACAUAUAUUUUAACUGUCUUAGUAUCUAUUUAAUUUUAAAUUGGUAAAAUUUGGACCCAGUAAUCUCUGGACCUAUCAAUAAUCUCCUGGUAUAAACAUUAUCUGAUUAAGGUAGAAAAUAGUUGAUAAAUGUUGAAUGUUUCUGUAGUGAAUAAUGUUUCAUAAAAAUAUUUGUUUUGAUGCUAGAUGGCUUGACUGGAAUGUGCUGUAAUCAUGAUACAUAUUGAACCUCUUAUAACAUUCUCUAUAUGAGUGCAUAGCCUUGAUGGAAAAUAGAAUAAAUUAAUGUGUUUAACAGGUUUAUUAUUGUAUCAGAUAUUUUGUGAGUCAUUAUAGCAAUGUCAGCAAUUACUGCUAUAGUUAAGUACUUGCCAGUAUUUUCUUUCCAAAUUCCACCUUCCAGGAGUUUCUAACUCACUCAUGAAAAUACAAAUCAGGCUGAAAUGUGGUGUGACAUUAGGGUAGUCCUGAUUCCACUGAUGUCAAUGCCCAAACUUCUACAGACUUCAGUGGGAGCAUGAUGAGUCCCAAUGUCUCAUGGCAACACUUUGCUUUCAUUGUGGUUACAAAUUGACUACUUAUCCAGCUAUUCUUUUCACUUAAAAGUAUGUCAGGUAGAGUGACUCAGAACUUAUAGACUUCUGUUUGAUAGAUUUGGUUGAUUCAUUGUUUACUGUGCUAAGGAGCACAGAUUUCAGAAGUACAAACACAGUAUUACAAGAGUACAUAGACUCCUUCAGUCUCUUUAUUUUAGCUAUCAUGUCCCUGACCCAUUGAUUUAUGACUGAAAUACAAGAAAAUUCUAUGCUAUCCUGAAAUGUGCUGUAAGCAUUCUAUAUCUCAGCACCGUACACUGUUUGUAUAGUGUUUACAAUUUCUGGCAGUACUGUAGACAGUCAAGUCUGAAAGACAGAAUAGAAAAUGACUACAUAAAACAAUAAUUGAUUGACAUCUAUAACAUUAUUGUUUCACACAUUAUUUUCUAUUGGUAGGAAGAGACGACUGUUAGUUGUGAUUCUUGGGUUCUAUGCAGGGAUUGCCAUGUACUCACUGUGUGAACUUAGUAACUGGCAAGUCACUUAACACCUCUGUGCUUCAGUUUACCCAUGCGUAGAAUGGGGAUAACAAUAGUUACCUCACUUGGGUGUUGUGAGAUUUAAAUAAUUAUUGUCAUGAUUAUCAUAAAGUCAUUUGAAAUCCAAAGAUGAAAGGGGCUAUGUUAGUGCAAAGUAUUAUUAAUAUGUUUUCUUUUUUGAUAAUAAUAAACCAGCUGUAUCAAUAAUGAAAAAUA